Molecule: ribosomal RNA, 440 nt
Filed under: uncultured Roseomonas sp.
Lineage: Bacteria; Pseudomonadati; Pseudomonadota; Alphaproteobacteria; Acetobacterales; Roseomonadaceae
Description: bacterial SSU rRNA
Rfam family: Bacterial small subunit ribosomal RNA
Source: RNAcentral
CCUACGGGGGGCUGCAGUGGGGAAUAUUGGACAAUGGGCGAAAGCCUGAUCCAGCAAUGCCGCGUGUGUGAAGAAGGUCUUCGGAUCGUAAAGCACUUUCGACAGGGACGAUGAUGACGGUACCUGUAGAAGAAGCCCCGGCUAACUUCGUGCCAGCAGCCGCGGUAAUACGAAGGGGGCUAGCGUUACUCGGAAUUACUGGGCGUAAAGGGCGCGUAGGCGGCUUGGCCAGUCAGGCGUGAAAUUCCUGGGCUUAACCUGGGGACUGCGCUUGAUACUGCCAGGCUUGAGGCCGAGAGAGGGUGGUGGAAUUCCCAGUGUAGAGGUGAAAUUCGUAGAUAUUGGGAAGAACACCGGUGGCGAAGGCGACCACCUGGCUCGGUACUGACGCUGAGGCGCGACAGCGUGGGGAGCAAACAGGAUUAGAUACCCCGGUAGUC